This 363-nucleotide transfer-messenger RNA is filed under the name Caryophanales. Its description in RNAcentral is "Bacillus_BD tuaregi Standard tmRNA". It matches the Rfam family "transfer-messenger RNA". From Rfam's summary of the family: Bacterial tmRNA, also known as 10Sa RNA or SsrA, is named for its dual tRNA and mRNA-like properties. Its role is to liberate the mRNA from a stalled ribosome. To accomplish this part of the tmRNA is used as a reading frame that ends in a translation stop signal. The record is from RNAcentral. Lineage: Bacteria; Bacillati; Bacillota; Bacilli. RNAcentral also lists the same sequence under 1 other name.
GGGGACGCUACGGAUUCGACAGGGGUAGUUCGAGCUUAGGUUGCGAGUCGAGGGGAUCGGCCUCGUUAAAACGUCAAAGCCUAUAACUGGCAAACAACAAAACAAUUUCGCUUUAGCUGCCUAAUAAGCGCUUAGCGGUUCCUCCCUCCAUCGCCCAUGUGGUUGGGUAAGGGACUCAACUUUAGUGGGCUACGCCGGAUUCCGCCGUCUCGAGGAUGAAGGAAGAGAAUAAUCAGACUAGCUAGCCCGGACGCCCGUCGAUAGGCAUAUGGAGCGGCGAAACAGUAAAUAUAUCGACUACACUCGUAGAAGCUUAAGUAACGAUAUCUUUGGACGUGGGUUCGACUCCCACCGUCUCCACCA